Molecule: ribosomal RNA, 1440 nt
Filed under: metagenome
Description: bacterial SSU rRNA
Rfam family: Bacterial small subunit ribosomal RNA
Source: RNAcentral
AGAGUUUGAUCCUGGCUCAGGGUGAACGCUGGCGGCGUGUCUAAGGCAUGCAAGUCGAACGAUCCACUUCGGUGGAGAGUGGCAAACGGGUGAGUAACACAUUGGAAACCUACCUCUGACUCGGGGACAACCACUUGAAAAGGUGGCUAAUACCCGAUGGUCUCCGCCUUCAUAUGGAUGGCGGAGUAAAGUUCCGGCGGUCAGAGAGGGUCCUAUGGUCUAUCAGCUUGUUGGUAGGGUAAUGGCCUACCAAGGCUACGACGGAUAGCGGGUGUGAGAGCAUGACCCGCCUCACUGGGACUGAGACACUGCCCAGACUCCUACGGGAGGCUGCAGUCAAGAAUCUUCCGCAAUGCGCGAAAGCGUGACGGAGCGACGCCGCGUGAUCGAUGAAGCCCUUCGGGGUGUAAAGGUCUUUUCUCAAGGAGGAACGUUGACAGUACUUGAGGAAUAAGGGGCUGCCAAACUCGUGCCAGCAGCAGCGGUAAUACGAGUGCCCCGAGCGUUACCCGGAUUUACUGGGCGUAAACGGUCCGCAGGCGGUUUGGAUAGUCUUCGGUCAAAUCUUCAGGCUCAACCUGGAGACUGCUGGAGAAACUUCCUCACUAGAGGCUGGGAGAGGCAAGCGGAAUUGCCGGUGUAGCAGUCAAAUGCGAUAAUAUCGGUAGGAACACCAAUAGCGAAGGCAGCUUGCUGGAACAGUCCUGACGCUCAUGGACGAAAGCGUGGGUAGCGAAUGGGAUUAGAUACCCCAGUAGUCCACGCCCUAAACGAUGGAUACUAGAUUUUGGGAGUUUCGACCCUCUCAGAGUCGGCAAACCAAGCUAACGCCUUAAGUAUCCCGCCUGGGGAGUACGGCCGCAAGGCUAAAACUCAAAGGAAUUGACGGGAACCCGCACAAGCGGUGGAGCAUGUGGUUUAAUUCGAUAUUAAGCGAGGAACCUCACCAAGGCUUGACAUCCCGGGAAUCCUGCAGAAAUGCGGGAGUGCCUUACGGAACCCGGUGACAGGUGCUGCAUGGUUGUCGUCAGCUCGUGUCGUGAGACGUAUGGUUAAGUCCCAUAACGAGCGCAACCCCUAUCCUGCGUUACAAUUUCACAGGAAACUGCCCCGUAUAACGGGGAGGAAGGCGGGGACGACGUCAAAUCAGCAUGGCCCUUACGCCUUGGGCGACACACGUGCUACAAUGGCCGGAACAAAGGGUUGCCAAACCGCGAGGUGGAGCUAAUCCCAUAAAUCCGGCCCCAGUUCGGAUUGGGGUCUGCAACUCGACUCCAUGAAGUCGGAAUCGCUAGUAAUCGUGAAUCAGCCUCAUCACGGUGAAUACGUUCUCGGGUUUUGUACACACCGCCCGUCACAUCAAGAAAGUCGGCAAUGCCCGAACCUGGCGGUUGUCAGGGAAGGCAGGGCCGAUGAUAGGGAUGAAGUCGUAACAAGGCA